Molecule: RNA transcript, 4242 nt
Organism: Felis catus (domestic cat)
Lineage: Eukaryota; Metazoa; Chordata; Mammalia; Carnivora; Felidae
Gene: ZNF207
Gene name: zinc finger protein 207
Exons: 14
Source: RefSeq, a predicted model, not a curated record
GGAGCAGAGCGGCGAACGAGGGCGUCGGCCAUUUUGUGUCUGUUUCCUGUGGGACGCGGUGGUGGCCGUUGGGUCGGAAGAGUGAGCGAUUUUUGCCUCGUUUUUCCUGUUAGUUUUCUCCCCCUUUCACUUUGUCGGUAGAGCGCAGUUAUGGGUCGCAAGAAGAAGAAGCAGCUGAAGCCGUGGUGCUGGUAUUGUAAUAGAGAUUUUGAUGAUGAGAAGAUCCUUAUACAGCACCAAAAAGCAAAACAUUUUAAAUGCCAUAUAUGUCAUAAGAAAUUGUACACAGGACCUGGCUUAGCUAUUCAUUGCAUGCAGGUGCAUAAAGAGACAAUAGAUGCUGUACCAAAUGCAAUACCUGGGAGAACAGACAUAGAAUUGGAAAUAUAUGGUAUGGAAGGUAUUCCAGAAAAAGACAUGGAUGAAAGAAGACGACUUCUUGAACAGAAAACGCAAGCAGAGAGUCAAAAAAAGAAGCAACAAGAUGAUUCUGAUGAAUAUGAUGAUGAUGACUCUGCAGCUUCAACUUCAUUUCAGCCACAGCCUGUUCAACCUCAGCAAGGUUAUAUCCCCCCAAUGGCACAGCCAGGACUGCCACCAGUCCCGGGAGCACCAGGAAUGCCUCCAGGCAUACCUCCAUUAAUGCCGGGUGUUCCUCCUCUGAUGCCAGGAAUGCCACCAGUUAUGCCAGGCAUGCCACCUGGAUUGCAUCAUCAGAGAAAAUACACCCAGUCAUUUUGCGGUGAAAACAUAAUGAUGCCAAUGGGUGGAAUGAUGCCACCUGGACCAGGAAUACCACCUCUGAUGCCUGGUAUGCCACCAGGUAUGCCCCCUCCUGUUCCCCGUCCAGGAAUUCCUCCAAUGACUCAAGCACAGGCUGUUUCAGCGCCAGGCAUUCUUAAUAGACCACCUGCACCGACAGCAACAGUUCCUGCUCCACAGCCUCCAGUUACUAAGCCUCUUUUCCCCAGUGCUGGACAGAUGGGGACACCUGUAACAAGCUCAAGUACAGCUUCAUCCAAUUCAGAAAGUCUGUCUGCAUCUUCUAAAGCUCUGUUUCCUAGCACAGCACAAGCUCAGGCAGCUGUCCAAGGACCUGUUGGUACAGAUUUCAAGCCUUUAAAUAGUACCCCUGCAACAACUACAGAACCCCCAAAGCCUACAUUCCCUGCUUAUACACAGUCUACAGCUUCAACCACUAGUACAACAAAUAGCACUGCAGCUAAACCAGCAGCUUCAAUAACAAGUAAGCCUGCUACACUUACAACAACCAGUGCAACCAGUAAGUUGAUCCAUCCAGAUGAGGAUAUAUCACUGGAAGAGAGAAGGGCACAGUUACCUAAAUACCAACGUAAUCUUCCUCGACCAGGACAGGCUCCCAUUGGUAAUCCACCAGUUGGACCUAUUGGAGGUAUGAUGCCACCACAGCCAGGCAUCCCACAGCAACAAGGAAUGAGACCCCCAAUGCCGCCUCAUGGUCAGUACGGUGGUCAUCAUCAAGGCAUGCCAGGUUACCUUCCUGGUGCUAUGCCACCGUAUGGGCAGGGACCGCCAAUGGUACCCCCUUACCAAGGUGGGCCUCCUCGACCUCCGAUGGGAAUGAGACCUCCUGUAAUGUCGCAAGGUGGCCGUUACUGAUCUUACUUCAUCCAAUCUAAUAGCCCUGCCAUAGGACAGGCUGAGGCUGAGUCUCAGUGUUGCCCUGUUCAGUCUGAGCAGCAGAAUUUCAGCAUUUGCUACUUACUGGUAGAGAAGAAAAAUCCCACAGCCCUGCCAGUACAGGUUAGUUUAAUCUGUAAGUACCUGAUGUUCCUAUUUUUUUCAAACAUAUCCAUAUAACCCACACAAGGAAGAAAGCUGUGCAGUUACUUAAAUGUGAGUAUAACUAAUAAUAGAUCCAUUGGACACUUUUAAACACUCAGUUCUUGGGCCAAAGUAGCUCUAGGUUUGCUAAUAACCUCAGUUGUAAGAGAGGUGUAUUACUGCUCCUUUAUAUCUGGUUGUGGUUGACCCUAAAUAAAUACAUUGUACAUAAAAGGAAAAGAUGGUGAAAGUUUCAAUUGGCUAUACACACGUGUUGGCAUGUGAUCUGGAGUGCAGGGCUUUGGGUCCAGGCUCUACUGAAGCCACUCUCAUGGUGGUUACUCAUACUUACCUUUUAACUUUUUACAGUAUGAAUCAACCUAAGAAAAAAGUCAAGUUUCCUUACCUCUAGCAGUGAUAAAUGGUGUGCAGUCAUAAGCUAGAAAAUGUUUUCAUACUGUGUAUUUUGUUAAAUGUUUGUAGUAGCUCUUGCUGUAAAUAAGUACUAAUUUUGUUCACCUUUUUUUGUAAACUAUAACCUAUUCUGUUGUUGCACCACCACUGUGGGCUCAUUUUACUUUGAAUUAAGAAUAACAAAACUUUUUAAUAUUCAAAUGAAAACUGACUACCCAUCAAGAAACCUAGACAAAUUCCUUGUAUGUUCCUUUUGAGGGGCAGUAAGGUCAUAAUGGCUUGUAAAAAACAUGUUAAGGUUUUUAUUACUGUCAUUGGUUCUAUCAGAAUUCAUUGUUGUCUUGAACCAUCUUUGAGAGUUUCCUUUAACCUUUAAAUAUUAUGCUUUUGUGUUGCUAAAAAUUUUAAAUGCAAAGGUAAAAAGAAUAAAGCAUACAAUUUGGUUUUCACAAGCCUGAACCAUCCUUCAACUCUGUAGCAUUGACUAGGAUGCAUGGCUACCUCCUUUACACCCUAAGUGUAAUGAUGUCUAAUUUGAGAACAUCUAUCCAUAAAACUAGUUGAUCUUUUAUUCCUAUUAAUUGGGGGUGGUGAUUAGCCACUGAAAACAGACCAUCUUAGUGUUAUUUUGUUUGAAAGUCAUGCAUUUAGUUAAUUAAAAAUCUCAAUAUAUCAACUGAUAAUAAAAUUUUAAGAUAUCCACUUGUUUUUUUAAUAUAAAAUUGCCUAAGGGCUUAAGUUUCGUUGCCUUUCACAGUUUAAUCUAUAUAAGAAAUGGCGUAGAUACAGUGGAAAUGGUUUUCCUUAAAACCAUCUCUAUAAAGCUGCCUUUCUGGUGAGUACUAUUUUAUACUUAUAUGUCACAAUUUUUCUUUUUAAGUUUAACUGAAAUGGGAUACUGAUCAAAGAAGUGAGCAAUCUGAAUUUGUACACUCUUUAGAUAAUAUCUGAAUCAGAAAUGUAUUUUAUUUAAAAGUUGAAUAUUUCACUUCCUGACAUUUCCCUAAUAAUCCAGGAUCACUUUCUGACUUUGACUUAACAGACUAACUGGAAAACCUAUUAACAUAUAAAUUGUUUCCUUUUAGUGAGAUGGAAAAAAUGUUUUUAUUCAGAAUUAUCUAGUAUUUUUACAAAUAUUAAGAUUUUCCUUUUAGCUAACAACCAAAAGUGUUUUCUCAAUGCUUUCACUUCCCACACUGCAUAGGUAUAAAAGUUAAAUAGCAGAAUUUGUCUGUUCUCCGUGAAGCUGUUGUUGCAGUGAUUCAUGAGCUAUUAAAGCCAAGGGUAGAGUUGAAGAAGGACUUGCCUGAAAUGUUCCUGCAGACUAAUGCUUUACAGGAUUCCCUUUGAAUGAGCUUAAAAAUUUCAAGUGUAUUUUUAAAUCUCUCUAACCUUGCAUGGAAAAUGUGGAUUAGAAAUGCUGGUUUCUGAGACUGUGUAUGCCAGCAGAAAUUAGCCUCUGGGUAUAUUUCUAAUUACUUUAUGCCCUGUUCAGUACUUUCCUUCAGUGUAACACAUGGAUUUUUUUCCUCUUUAGUCUUAAACCACAUCCUAGAUGAUGUCAAUAUAAGCUAAGGAUGUUUUCAUAUUGUAUUUCCUGCUGUUAUCUUUGUAAACCAACAAUGAACAGUAAGCUCCUAAUACUUUUUAGUAUGGAAAAUGGUAGUCUUCUCUAAAAUAAACCUGAAAAUUGAUGUCUUGAGUAUGUGAUAAUGGUGAUGUAUUCUUCUAGAUAAGCACUAAACAAAGUAUGGACCCUCAAUUUAUGUCUUUAAGAUUUAAAGUGAAGUAAAUUUCUAAGGAAUUCUGUCCUUUCCUAGCAAGGAUAAGCAGACAUUGAAAAUGUGGUAAGUAUGUAACUGUGAAUGCAUGUAAUAGUGGUGAGAGUAAGUAGCCAAAUUUCCAUAGCAUAAAAAUAACUUAGACAUAAACAAGAUUUCUUGAAUUUCCUUUGCGACUUAAUGUAUGUGUGUCUAGCAUUUUUACAAAUUUGUGUGCACAAUGAUUAAAUUGGAAUGUACCUUA